GCACUGCACCGCGUCUCAUCUCAAGUUGGGUAGGUCCCCAGCACCCACCUCACAAACCCUAUCCUCCAAAGACAUGCAGCGCUGCCCUCCUCACUCCUCCUCCAUCUUUCCUUGUCAGCCGCCGCUGCCGCCAUUCUGCAUCGCUCCUCUCUGUCCGACGGCCACGCCACUGGGAGGAAUCCGCCGCACAAGAGGAUAGGGGACGCCUGUUGGCGAGCUUCCAGGCAGGAAGCUGAUGGGGAGCACGCCAUCAACGAGCCUCUGGGGAGGAGCUAUCGGCCGGUCCUGAGUCGUCCACCAAAGGCCUCCAAUUGUGCCGUCGUGAGAGGAGCAGCAUGGGACGAGAUGAGGAUAUGCCGGCGGCGUCGGACUCCCUCUUCCCUGGCUGCAUCUUCCCCGAAUAAAUGUUCUAGGGUUGGAGAAGAGGGGGUUGCGCAACAGCUUUGCUUAGAUGAGUGCUCAGGUUGAUCACCUUCACCAAGAAAAGUGUGAUGCCAGUUAUGCACUUUCUUUUCAUAGAAUGUUGUUGUCUGUAUCUUGCUGAAUGUACAGAGCUAAUGUUCAGUUCAUUGUCUCAGGCAUGGGUUUAUAGAUUCAUAAUUUUCUUAUACACUUGCUCGUCGCACACCAGCUAGGCUGGCCAGGGGAUGAAGGCACGAUGCAGCGGGUGCAGCAGCGGUAGCGGGGAAACCCCUCCUGGCCGAGCCUUAUCCCUAGCCUCUACCUACAGAGGUGAACCCCAGGAAAGCUAAAAGUUUGUGGAGGAGCGCCGACACAGGUUAGCAUCUUCCUAUUUCUCUUCAUCCUUUCCUCAACUUCCAUGGGAACCUAUGAUUUUUUUCUUCCAGUUUUUUAGAGGGUAUUUUGGACUCAAGAUUGAUCUGGUAGUGCACGUGUGGUGUGCCAUAAGCAAGAAUAUCUUAUCUGUGCCAUGACAAUAAGGGCUUGCUGCAGCCAGGUAGUUCUUGGGAGUAUGGUGCUUCGAUUUGGUUCCUUUGGUGGUAUCUUCCCUCCCUUCUCCCUCCUUCUAUUUCUUACUGAUGCUUUGAUACUUUGAUCUGUUGUAUUGGCUAAAAUUAUGUACUUGGUGAGUCCUACAUGCUUAUUGAGAUGAAUCAUUUACAAAGUUAUAGUGUUAUUUUCAGAAUCUGUAAUGACACAGUUACCUUCAAAAUUUGAGAUGAACCAUUUCCAGAGCGUAUAUUGAGAGCCUAGAAGUAGCAGGGGUCGGCGGAGCAGCGGAUGCGGUCGAUGGAGUAGCAGGAGCAAGGAGCUCGAGAUGGUUCAAGUUUUCUUCCACUUCCUCUCUUAUUCGUUGGUAUACAGCUAGGUUGUUAUAUACAAGUUAUUCAUUUUUAUACAACUAAGUUUUUGUAGGAAGAGGGCCUAUCGAGAUUAUAGAACUGGAUAGAGGUGCCUUAUGAUAGUAUAGCUAAAGAACAAUAGGUAUGAGUAGAUGGCACUGCCACCUAUGUGUUUCAUUUUUAUUUGUUGCGAUAUUUCACACACCCCAUAUUGGCACCCCCUCUAUAUUUUCCCAUGCUUAUAGACUUGCAGAAACACAUGCUGCUUGUCUCUAUUUAUCAUGGUAUUCACAUUAUAAAUUAAAAUGUAGUUGGAAAGAAUUAUGGGUCAUUUUGGCAUGAAGCUCGAGAAUGAUAAUACCACCUCAAGCGGGGAUAAAGCAGGAUAACAAAUAGAUGAGAUGUAAUUACUGAAACUAGAAAAAAUUCUCUUCUUCUGAUUAUGCAUAUGUAAAGUCAUGAUUACGUGUGGACCAGAUGUGUGCUAUUUUCCAUUGCAUACCAGAUUGUCGGUUAAAAGAGUUUUUGUCUUCCAGCAAUGAGCUUUCAUUUUCAUUGCAGAGGUUUAUUUGGUUCAUCUCCUUUGGUCAUUUUUUUCAGUUUGUCUCUUCAGAAGUUUGGGUGCCUCUGUUUUGCUACUUUUUAGUUCUCAUCAUUAAAGUUGUAUCUUUCCUCCCCUCUUGGAUUGUUGCAUCCUUAUUGUGUCUCAUCGUUAAGGUGGCACAUAUAAGUAUUAAUUUAUUCAGUUCUGCUAAAGUACCGCUGAAAAUUCAAAUUCUAUGUACUUCACUUUUGGCUAUACACGAGAAUACAGUACACAUAUUUCAGUAGUGAUUGAAUGUGAAGACCAUUGGGCAUGUUUUUGUAAAUGUGGAUUAAUUAAGUUUUAUUGCUUUAUGGUGAGAUGAAUAUGUUGAUUAUAAUGAUAUAAUAUUAAGAGAUUUUCAAGUGUAAGCUUGUAGCAAAUUAUCUUCUAAUCCAGACUCCAUAUCAUUAUUUAUAUUGUAACACAAAUGUGUUCUAUUAUACUCCAAGCCUUGGUACAUGAAGGCAUGAUAUUACCCCUCUCCCCCUGCCCCUUCUAUGUAUUUUCUGAUUUGUUUGUGUGACUGUACUGAAUGGUGCUUGCAGGUCCAUGGACAUUGUCAGAAUUUUCACUUUAUUGCAGUGUCUUAUUUUCAGAUCUCAUGUUCCUCAAGCUAAUGGACAAGAUUGUGUUUUUUGUAGUAUGGUACCAUCACAACAUUUUCUAUUUAGUCAUUCAUUUGUUAUGCACCAUAUUUAAUAAGGAAAUAGAGGGCGUUUGUUUUCUAUUGUUAUAAAUCUGUUUCUGAAUACUAUUUGUAGAUUUAUGUUUGGAAACACCAAUCACGGUAAUAUUUUUGUGUAUGUAGAUAGAUUUGUAUAUUUCAUAUACUAAUACCGAAAUUGAAAUGUUUUAAGAAAUAUGGUUGGAGAUGUCAUGUAAACUGGUAGUUUUCUUAAGAAGAUCAUUGUCAUGUAAUCUAAUAUGUCAUUAGGUUAUUUGUAAUACUCCUGCAAUUUCUAAUAUAGUUAAAAUAAUUUAAUGUGUAGGUGACAAGGCUUUGGAGCCAUGGUUUUCUUAGGUAGCUUUAUUAGGGCAUCAAACUAUUUGGUGCUACAAUUGUUGUAAAUGUCUAACUUUGUAAGAUAUUCAGCAUUGGUUCAUCAUAGUAUGCUUUCUUCUGUGCCUUGUUUCACAGGCUUGCUCUCACUACUGCUGUAGACAUGGAACGUUGAUGACAACAUACAGGUAACUCUUUCAAAAUCAUGGAUAGUAUAAAUAUACAGUUGUAUUAUUAACCUUGAGGUUAUUUCUUAAACUGGCAUAUACUUUCCUUGCCUUGAGGGCACAAUUUAUAAUCAAAUGCAAAUGGCAUACCUUUCUUUACUUGGAACAUGGCAUCCAACAGAGGAACAUGAGUACUUUAUAUGUAUAUUAGUAUAUCGCGAGCUCUAAAAAGGUUUUCGUCUAUUGCUUUCGCACAUCAGGCUUUUUCCUAAUUGUUUCCAGUACAAAAAGAGCUUGCUGCCAUGUAUAGGAUAAUAGAAUACACGUUCUUGAAAUGAAGCAACUUAUUAAACUAAACCAUGGUGAUGUACUCCUUGCCGCUGAUUUAUUGAGAUCCAGCUGAAAAUAAGGGGAAUGCAAACAUCAUCCUGCCACUUAAGUUAUCUCAUAUUUAUGGAGAAAAGUUACACAGUUAGCUAUUACAAAAUACUAAAAUUCAUGUAUGUAUCCGGCUUCAUUAUGGAGUUGAGAACGAAAUCAUUGGAAUUCUUAUGUUGAGAAAAGGCCAAUGGAAUAUUAUUAUUAUGUGUUACAAAGUUCAUACAAAGAAUAUAUAUUGUAGUGCUCUAAAUAUAAAUUAAAAUAUUGUAGUCCUUGGUUAAUGCAUUGUUUUUUCUUUUUGAUCCAGAAUGAUAUUUGAAGAUAAGGAAUUAGUAUGAGAUGCUUUAGGGCGUUUAAACAAUUGGAUAAGAUUAAACACAUGUGGUGCCGAAUUGGCAAUCCUUCAUCCUUAUUUUCUUGAUAAUUGUCGGAGUCCUGGACUUGGGGGUAUCCAGUCCUGCCUACCUGCAGCCCACCACGUGGCUCCAUCGACGGCCUGGUACGGCCCAGCUUCGACAACAACACAGCAAGACGACGCCAAGACCCCCGAAGGAGUUUGGAGAGAUCUAUGCAGCUACCUCAUGAGGCUCAGAUGACAUGAGCCAUGACUACCAAGGCCAAGUGGGCGCCAGGCGGGCGCAGAGUGCAGGUUUCCUCUUUGUUUCAAGGGAGGCAAGCCAUAGAAGCGGAGUCCCGAGGAAUCAGCCAAAGGUUUCCAUUCUGGUGCAACGAGACCAAGACCGCCAGGAUGGCGGGACGGAGGUCAUCACCGAGCCCACUGCAGCGUCACGACCAGAGGCUUUUCACAGGCAAAGAAUAAUUUUGUCAGGAUAGACUGUACUACUUGUCCCCUUUCAAAUCCCGCCGUUGUGGGAUCCCUUCCCGCUCAUAUUUGGGAGGAGGACCAAGGCACUAUAUGUAGGGCUUAGCCACCACCAUGGAGGGGGAUUGAUUCCUCCCCGAGCAGCACACCAGCUCAAGAACACCGCACCUCCUAAGGCUUGUUCAUCCU
Long non-coding RNA from Triticum aestivum (bread wheat), 4450 nucleotides. RefSeq lists it as uncharacterized. The record is from RefSeq and is a predicted model, not a curated record. NCBI's taxonomy places the organism in Eukaryota, Viridiplantae, Streptophyta, Magnoliopsida, Poales, Poaceae. The transcript is spliced from 2 exons.